AUUGAACGCUGGCGGCAGGCCUAACACAUGCAAGUCGAAUGGUAACAGGAAACAGCUUGCUGUUUCGCUGACGAGUGGCGGACGGGUGAGUAAUGUCUGGGAAACUGCCUGAUGGAGGGGGAUAACUACUGGAAACGGUAGCUAAUACCGCAUAACGUCGCAAGACCAAAGAGGGGGACCUUCGGGCCUCUUGCCAUCAGAUGUGCCCAGAUGGGAUUAGCUAGUAGGUGGGGUAACGGCUCACCUAGGCGACGAUCCCUAGCUGGUCUGAGAGGAUGACCAGCCACACUGGAACUGAGACACGGUCCAGACUCCUACGGGAGGCAGCAGUGGGGAGUAUUGCACAAUGGGCGCAAGCCUGAUGCAGCCAUGCCGCGUGUAUGAAGAAGGCCUUCGGGUUGUAAAGUACUUUCAGCGGGGAGGAAGGGAGUAAAGUUAAUACCUUUGCUCAUUGACGUUACCCGCAGAAGAAGCACCGGCUAACUCCGUG
This 490-nucleotide ribosomal RNA is filed under the name uncultured bacterium. RNAcentral describes it as "partial 16S ribosomal RNA". It matches the Rfam family "Bacterial small subunit ribosomal RNA", at positions 30 to 507 of the family's 1533-position model. The record is from RNAcentral.